Molecule: ribosomal RNA, 496 nt
Filed under: uncultured bacterium
Lineage: Bacteria
Description: partial 16S ribosomal RNA
Rfam family: Bacterial small subunit ribosomal RNA
Source: RNAcentral
AUGAACGCUGGCGGCGUGCCUCAUACAUGCAAGUCGAGCGAACAGACGAGGAGCUUGCUCCUUUGACGUUAGCGGCGGACGGGUGAGUAACACGUAGGUAACCUACCUAUAAGACUGGGAUAACUUCGGGAAACCGGAGCUAAUACCGGAUAAUAUUUCGAACCGCAUGGUUCGAUAGUGAAAGAUGGCUUUGCUAUCACUUAUAGAUGGACCUGCGCCGUAUUAGCUAGUUGGUAAGGUAACGGCUUACCAAGGCAACGAUACGUAGCCGACCUGAGAGGGUGAUCGGCCACACUGGAACUGAGACACGGUCCAGACUCCUACGGGAGGCAGCAGUAGGGAAUCUUCCGCAAUGGGCGAAAGCCUGACGGAGCAACGCCGCGUGAGUGAUGAAGGUCUUCGGAUCGUAAAACUCUGUUAUUAGGGAAGAACAAACGUGUAAGUAACUGUGCACGUCCUGACGGUACCUAAUCAGAAAGCCACGGCUAACUACGUG